ACGUAGGGGGCAAGCGUUGUCCGGAAUAAUUGGGCGUAAAGGGCGCGUAGGCGGCUCGGUAAGUCUGGAGUGAAAGUCCUGCUUUUAAGGUGGGAAUUGCUUUGGAUACUGUCGGGCUUGAGUGCAGGAGAGGUUAGUGGAAUUCCCAGUGUAGCGGUGAAAUGCGUAGAGAUUGGGAGGAACACCAGUGGCGAAGGCGACUAACUGGACUGUAACUGACGCUGAGGCGCGAAAGUGUGGGGAGCAAACAG
This 251-nucleotide ribosomal RNA is filed under the name uncultured bacterium. RNAcentral describes it as "partial 16S ribosomal RNA". It matches the Rfam family "Bacterial small subunit ribosomal RNA", at positions 525 to 775 of the family's 1533-position model. The record is from RNAcentral.